Molecule: long non-coding RNA, 802 nt
Organism: Leptinotarsa decemlineata (Colorado potato beetle)
Lineage: Eukaryota; Metazoa; Arthropoda; Insecta; Coleoptera; Chrysomelidae
Source: RefSeq, a predicted model, not a curated record
GUCUCAAGUGGCUGUGGAGGAAUUGAUAGAUUUAGGAUGUUGUGCACAGCGCCCCCUUGGUGCUUGUAGUGUAGAUUGGACGCACUGUGGCAACAACUGGUUAGCUGUCAGAUGUGGCAGUCUCGGAGUAUUCGGAAGUUAGCCUUCGACGAGCUUGGUUCGGAGUUAAGAGUACCAUCAGACUGAUUGUAGGAUAUAUUUGGUUGUAUUUGUGCCAUCCUUCACGAGGAUUAUUUCUACAAGUCAGGAUUGUAUAGUGGAAGACUGAUUGGUCAUUUUGGUGUGGAUAUUUGCAGUCUGAAACUUAAGCUCUUUUGAGGAUUUGUGGUGGUUACCGAACUCGUGCCAGGUGGAAGGAUUUCCGAAAUUAGAUUCAUAAGAAACAGAAGGCCCUCAGUCACUCAUCAAGUCCCAGCAGGACUUCCGUGCAGAACACCGCACACGAAGAAUCGUAUAGAAAACCCCUUGGCCAGGGGUGAUCCAUCUCCGCCGUACUACAGGGUGAUCCAUCUCCGCAGUACUACAGGGUGAUCCACUUCCGUCGAACCACGGGGUAGCCUAACAACAUAUACCGGGUGGCCCAAAAGGAGCACGCAAGUUAUAAUUGAUUUAAUUGAAAAUUUGUGAUAUACUGAGAUAUUUGCAUAAUUGUUGCCCUUAUGUUUAUUGAUACCUGUUGUUAUAGUGUAUGUUUAUCGUUUAUUGAUCAAGACUUUGUUUAUUGAUACCUGAUUGAUAUAGAUAUCUGUGAAACGGAAAUUGAGGUAUAUUCUUCCUUUCACGAUUGCACUGAUUGACACCG